RNAcentral lists this long non-coding RNA (3978 nucleotides) under Taeniopygia guttata (zebra finch). RNAcentral describes it as "lncRNA (ENSTGUG00000024770.1)". The record is from RNAcentral. Lineage: Eukaryota; Metazoa; Chordata; Aves; Passeriformes; Estrildidae.
UUUCACUCCAGCUCUUUUCCUGGUGACUCUUACUGCUUUUGACAAGUCACCAGGCAAUUUCAGAUCAAAAUCAGAAGCUCAGCCCCAACUCCAUCUGGCAGUGCCUUAACUGAGACUGGCAGUGGCUGAUUUUCAAACCAGUGAAAAGGUAUAAGAACCUCACCAACAUAUUGCUGGGAGGAACAGGGCUGUGCUUGAGGCUCUGGACAGCCAGGAAGCAUCACAGCUGUACUACAAUGCAGAUCCAAGUGUAGACACACUCAUGGACAAGUCCUGCUUUCAUGUACACCUUCAGUACAGAGCAAACCCUGUGGCAGCUCCUAUCUUCUAACCAAGUGCAAGUGACACUGUCCUGCUUUUCUCCAUCAGCCUGCAGGAUGGGGUGACAGCCAAUCUAUGCAUACUGCCUCUUGCUGUCUCAUGGCAGAGGUUGCAGGAUGCUGUUCCCACCCUUGGGGCCUGAGCAGAGUGCCCAUUCCCAUGGAAUGACUUCUGAUGUGUUGUGUGCUGCACUGUGUUCAUUGCAGGGACUAAAUGUGUAGUUAUCUCACAGGGUGCAUACAUUCAGAGCUGAGCUGAAAUGGGCUGGAUGUGUUUGCUGCAUCUUGAACUGCCUGGGUGCAACAAAACAUGAUAGGCUGUUCCAGUAGUUCAAACUUGUAUCUGUGUUUAAUCAGCCCAGGUGUCCAACUGUCUGCUAAAAGAAAUCCUUUUGGAAGCCGCUGAGAUGGGUUUUUCUUUAUGAAAUCUCAUUACUGUGAUAGGUGGCAGUGUCUGUUAUGCAGGUUGGCAUUAUCUUCAGUUUCUUCUAAUGCUGCCUGACUUUAACUGGCUGGGCUGAUAUCUUCUGUGAGAGGUCUUGCCAAGGGCUGAUGGAUUCCUCAGCCUUUUGUACGACAUGCUAUUCAAAUCUGCUAACUCUGCUCCUAUUAAUUUCCUCUUAGGUUCUUCUGUAAUACCAUUGUACUGCUGAAGUGCUUACAGCAACUCCUGCAUUUAUAAUCACCAGCUCACCUGGUGAGAAAAAGCAGCUAUUUCUGACAGCCCCUUUGAGCUGCCCAAGGUCUGCCCACCCAGGGACCAGCACAGUGGCACAAUGCAUGGAGGUUCAGAGCAGGACCCUCACUGAUUUCUGUCACUGCACCCCUUUGAUUUCAAGACGGAUACUGGGCAAUGAGAGCACACACAGAGGCAGUGAUUACCUACAAAUGCUUGAUGAUGUCCAUGAUAUCCCAGAGGUACACAGCACCACAGGUAGGGAGAAAGUCCAAUUCUCUGGGACAGAAUGCUGGUGUCUUCUGAGUGAGACAGCGUCUUCUUUCAGCCUCUACAUCAACUGUUACACACUUUCCAUCUUCUCCAAAGGGAGGAGCAGAGGUCAGCUGGCAGCAGCCUCCUCUGUCCUCAUGCUUUGCUGUUCAGCCCCUCCACAGCUGCAGUCUGUGCGCUAAGAGAGGCAGGGCUCCAGGGGCUAAAGGAGCAGGCAAGUUAGACACUCAUGGGGCCCAGAAAUUAGAUUGCACAAGGCCACCAUCAUUCUGGCUCUCCUCCAUCACCUUCCUGCUUGUGAAGGGCUUGCUUUCACAAUCUUUAGCUUUUAACAUAUUUUUCCUUCAGGGAGUGGUGGUGGUUAGAAAGAUGUCUAACAGAAACUGACCAUCUUUUAUAGAGAUUUCUCAGUGGUAGCUCAGGAGAUGGCAGGGCAAAGACCCAGAGACAUGUAGCGGUCCCUUGGGAGGCCUGUCCCUCCUUGGGAAAGCAGGUGAGGAAAUCUCAGCUCCUCUUCCUGUGAAACUCUAGUUGAGGUCAGGCUGCCAGGCUCCAGGUGCCUGGGAGAGCUGCUGCAUGCCUUGGAUGUGUGCUGUGGCUCUCCUCAUGGUCCUGGCCACCCAAAUGAGCUCCCACCCAUGGAUCUGACCUGCAGCUAGCAUGUCCUCCUGCGUGGAAAUCAGGUGUAGGGAGGUGGAGACCACUAAUCCUUCUGACUGAGCAGGUGAUACGCAGCCAGGAUGGGCACCUAAAUUUAGGUGCCAAAAAGAUCAUUAGCUGACAUAUGUAGCUUCUGGCACCAGAGAUUACAUGCCCAGGAGCACUACUAUUUAUCCAUCCUGGCCUCAGCUGGUGCUGAUUUUAGUAUUUAAAACAAUGUUUCAAGCCUAAAUUCUCCUUGCAGCCAUGAAAUGCCGUAAAUGGAGGCUGCUGGCUGACCUGCAAUCCCUUCCUCCUCUUUCGUUUGUGCCAUGGCUGGUCCUACUUUAUCAAGCCUAACACCUUCCACUCGGAAAUGCCAGUUGAGAUUUUAGAUUUAUAAAAACUCAUCGUAGCGGAUCUUGCAGUCUAUCGGAGCAUGUGGUGCUCUGUGUGCUGUGAGCCCAUCUUCACUGCUGCACUGAGCAAAAUGGGUAAUUCUCCUUCUGCAAGGCAGCUAUUCAGAUCCCAAACAGGGCUGGUUAUUUUUUUCCUGACUUGCAGUUAUUAUUAAAAGCUCUGUCUUUUGCAGGCGUGUUGUUGUGCUGGAUCAGAAAUAGCGAUGCAGGGGCACUGAAGGUUGAGCCCUGUGUUUUGCUAACACUCUGGAAGACGAUGCCAUCUGUGACAUGAUUCAGAUCAGUGGUUUAGUGAAAUUCUGUUGGCAGGGAGUUAUUUACCAGAUUAAUGUUUCAGAAGUUCUCGGGCUUCCAAAAUGAUGCUUUGCCUUCCAUCUCCUUCUGCAAUUUUCUUUCACGUCUCCAAAGGUAAGCCCUGUCAGAGUGCCUCAUUAGCAUGUCUGGACAAGGCAAGAAAUACAAUCUUUGCUGGCACAAACCCAUGAGGCACAGCUUGAAAGGGUGCACAGAGGUCCUGAUGCUUUGAGCAGGUCAUGCAGAUGCCACCAAAGCCUGUAACGUGGGCACACAGCGAGAGUCCCCCCCAGACACCUCUUCCCCACAGCAUCCCAACACAGGAGGCAUCCCCAGAGCACAUGCAGAACACAGUGUGGAAAAGAAAUUUGGUUCUUUCAAGAGAAACGAAUUUUGGCCAUCUGAAAACCUCCAUGGCAAAUCAUCAUGUGCCUCUGGAAUGUGCCUCAUUUGAAGAACAAAUUGAAAAUGCCUUUGAUUUUAAAACCCUGUCAGGACUACAGCUCUCCAGACACACCAGACUUCUCUGGUUUACAGCAGUCAAAGUAUUCUCAAUACUCACUUGCAGAGUUGGACUUUGCAGAGGUCCCCUCAGGCCAGGAAGCCCCAUGGCUUUGGGUGCUGCUCGAACACCUCCAAAGCCAUCAAAGAGCUCACAGCCCUGUGAAACGCCUCACAAACAUCCACCAGACAACCUGGAUGUGGGAAAUAAAAUUCUGCACUAUCUCUGUGGGCACCUCUCCCCAGCUAUUUUCUGAAAUACAUUUUUCCAUAAAGCACCAGCUGUGUCAGACACUUCAGAGUGGCUGCAGCAUCCUAAGGAUGUUUUGAAUUAUACCAGACCUUCUCUGGGUAAAAUGAUCUCCACACAGCAUUAUUUGUAAUUGAAAAUGAGAGGUUAGAGUAAAUGAAUUCUCAUCACCAUCACAGAUCUUCAUAAGCUGCCCACUGCCACAGUAAUUAGGCACAAAAAUUAGGCAAUAACAGCAGUUGUUUCUGAAGUAUUUUGAACAUCAUAAAAAUAGUUUUAAUGGUUAAAACCCAAAGUGCUGGGAGCCAUCACUGUGACAGCUCUGUAGAUGAGAGCUGCAUCCCAGCAGCGAGAUGCAGUAAAUUUACUCACAGUAAAUCUGGAUCACUGGAAAAAUAGUUAGAUAAAACAGAACAUUUUCAUACCUGUUAGUUUCUGGUUUGCUGUUGAUUGGACAGUGUGUUUGAUCAUUUUGUGCAGCAGAGUGACAAAUAACUUACAAAAUUAUUUCCCUGAAAUUGUUUGGAAAUAUAGCUCUUCUUGCCAUAUAUUUCAUCUGGAAGGCAAUUUUUUCCUGCCCUUCUGCACAUCAGCCUGGAGUUUCUG